CUUGGACCAAUUCUUUUCUCGGGAGAUACAUGUUGCAGAGUUCAGAUUUCAUCUCUGAGAAUAUUUGGGGAUACAUUGAGACAAGGAUGAUACACAUGAAUGUACGAGAUGUGAACGCUGACCUCUCUGCACCGGUGUCCGGAAAAAUCAUUACUGUAUGUUUGACUGAGUCAACACUGAAAUGUUAAUCCUUCCAUGUGGAGGUGUUCCUGGCCUGGGAACGCCUCGGGAUCCUCCAGUCGGAGCUGAUUAAUGUGGCUCGGAAAGGGAAGUUUAGGGUCCCCUGCUGGAGCUGCUGCCUCCGCAAGCCGACACCGGACGAAGAUGGAUGGAUGGAGAAUAAUAAUAUAAACUGUUAAGGCAAUUCACUUUUUUGUGUACUGUAAAUUUGUAUUAUAAGACAUAUGGCCUUUUAUUUAAUACAAAUUUAUAAUUCUAACUGUUAAAAGUACAAUAAAAAACAGUGUCAAAGAUA
Etheostoma spectabile (orangethroat darter) is the source of this 475-nucleotide long non-coding RNA. RefSeq lists it as uncharacterized. The record is from RefSeq and is a predicted model, not a curated record. The transcript has 3 exons. Lineage: Eukaryota; Metazoa; Chordata; Actinopteri; Perciformes; Percidae.